GUUUUGGUCGAUGAACGGUGCUUGCACUGAGAUUCGACUUAAAACGAGUGGCGGACGGGUGAGUAACACGUGGGUAACCUGCCCUUAAGUGGGGGAUAACAUUUGGAAACAGAUGCUAAUACCGCAUAAAUCCAAGAACCGCAUGGUUCUUGGCUGAAAGAUGGCGCAAGCUAUCGCUUUUGGAUGGACCCGCGGCGUAUUAGCUAGUUGGUGAGGUAACGGCUCACCAAGGCGAUGAUACGUAGCCGAACUGAGAGGUUGAUCGGCCACAUUGGGACUGAGACACGGCCCAAACUCCUACGGGAGGCAGCAGUAGGGAAUCUUCCACAAUGGACGCAAGUCUGAUGGAGCAACGCCGCGUGAGUGAAGAAGGCUUUCGGGUCGUAAAACUCUGUUGUUGGAGAAGAAUGGUCGGCAGAGUAACUGUUGUCGGCGUGACGGUAUCCAACCAGAAAGCCACGGCUAACUACGUGCCAGCAGCCGCGGUAAUACGUAGGUGGCAAGCGUUAUCCGGAUUUAUUGGGCGUAAAGCGAGCGCAGGCGGUUUUUUAAGUCUGAUGUGAAAGCCCUCGGCUUAACCGAGGAAGCGCAUCGGAAACUGGGAAACUUGAGUGCAGAAGAGGACAGUGGAACUCCAUGUGUAGCGGUGAAAUGCGUAGAUAUAUGGAAGAACACCAGUGGCGAAGGCGGCUGUCUGGUCUGUAACUGACGCUGAGGCUCGAAAGCAUGGGUAGCGAACAGGAUUAGAU
This 749-nucleotide ribosomal RNA is filed under the name Lacticaseibacillus casei. RNAcentral's name for it is "bacterial SSU rRNA". It matches the Rfam family "Bacterial small subunit ribosomal RNA", at positions 61 to 783 of the family's 1533-position model. Lineage: Bacteria; Bacillati; Bacillota; Bacilli; Lactobacillales; Lactobacillaceae. The record is from RNAcentral.